UAGGGAAUCUUCGGCAAUGGGGGCAACCCUGACCGAGCAACGCCGCGUGAGUGAAGAAGGUUUUCGGAUCGUAAAGCUCUGUUGUAAGUCAAGAACGGGUGUGAGAGUGGAAAGUUCACACUGUGACGGUAGCUUACCAGAAAGGGACGGCUAACUACGUGCCAGCAGCCGCGGUAAUACGUAGGUCCCGAGCGUUGUCCGGAUUUAUUGGGCGUAAAGCGAGCGCAGGCGGUUUGAUAAGUCUGAAGUUAAAGGCUGUGGCUCAACCAUAGGUCGCUUUGGAAACUGUCAAACUUGAGUGCAGAAGGGGAGAGUGGAAUUCCAUGUGUAGCGGUGAAAUGCGUAGAUAUAUGGAGGAACACCGGUGGCGAAAGCGGCUCUCUGGUCUGUAACUGACGCUGAGGCUCGAAAGCGUGGGGAGCGAACAGG
RNAcentral lists this ribosomal RNA (429 nucleotides) under bacterium. RNAcentral's name for it is "partial 16S ribosomal RNA". It matches the Rfam family "Bacterial small subunit ribosomal RNA", at positions 355 to 776 of the family's 1533-position model. The record is from RNAcentral.